CAGCCGCCACGGUAAUACGAAGGGUGCAAGCGUUAAUCGGAAUUACUGGGCGUAAAGCGUGCGUAGGCGGUUUCUUAAGUCUGCUGUGAAAUCCCCGGGCUCAACCUGGGAAUGGCAGUGGAUACUGGGAGGCUAGAGUGUGUCAGAGGAUGGUGGAAUUCCCGGUGUAGCGGUGAAAUGCGUAGAGAUCGGGAGGAACAUCAGUGGCGAAGGCGGCCAUCUGGGACAACACUGACGCUGAGGCACGAAAGCGUGGGGAGCAAACAGGAUUAGAUACCCCAGUAGUCCCUGUCUCUUAUAC
This 301-nucleotide ribosomal RNA is filed under the name uncultured bacterium. RNAcentral describes it as "partial 16S ribosomal RNA". It matches the Rfam family "Bacterial small subunit ribosomal RNA", at positions 509 to 807 of the family's 1533-position model. The record is from RNAcentral.